AUACAUGCAGUCGAACGCUUUUGUUUCACCGGGUGCUUGCACCCACCGAGACAAAAGAGUGGCGGACGGGUGAGUAACACGUGGGUAACCUGCCCAUAAGAGGGGGAUAACAUCCGGAAACGGAUGCUAAUACCGCAUAUUUCCAAUUGUCUCCUGACAGAUGGAAAAAAGGUGGCUUCGGCUACCGCUUAUGGAUGGACCCGCGGCGUAUUACUAGUUGGUGAGGUAAUGGCUCACCAGGCGAUGAUCU
RNAcentral lists this ribosomal RNA (250 nucleotides) under Carnobacterium sp. RNAcentral's name for it is "partial 16S ribosomal RNA". It matches the Rfam family "Bacterial small subunit ribosomal RNA", at positions 51 to 282 of the family's 1533-position model. Lineage: Bacteria; Bacillati; Bacillota; Bacilli; Lactobacillales; Carnobacteriaceae. The record is from RNAcentral.